RNAcentral lists this ribosomal RNA (444 nucleotides) under uncultured soil bacterium. Its description in RNAcentral is "bacterial SSU rRNA". It matches the Rfam family "Bacterial small subunit ribosomal RNA", at positions 26 to 518 of the family's 1533-position model. The record is from RNAcentral.
AGAACGAGCGCUGGCGGCAUGCCUAACACAUGCAAGUCGAACGAGACCUUCGGGUUUAGUGGCGCACGGGUGCGUAACGCGUGGGAAUCUGCCCUUGGGUUCGGAAUAACAGUUGGAAACGACUGCUAAUACCGGAUGAUGACGUAAGUCCAAAGAUUUAUUGCCCAGGGAUGAGCCCGCGUAGGAUUAGCUAGUUGGUGAGGUAAAGGCUCACCAAGGCGACGAUCCUUAGCUGGUCUGAGAGGAUGAUCAGCCACACUGGGACUGAGACACGGCCCAGACUCCUACGGGAGGCAGCAGUGGGGAAUAUUGGACAAUGGGCGAAAGCCUGAUCCAGCAAUGCCGCGUGAGUGAUGAAGGCCUUAGGGUGUAAAAGCUCUUUACCCGGGAAGAUAAUGACUGUACCGGAGAAUAAGCUCCGGCUAACUCCGUGCCAGCAGCCGC